This 590-nucleotide ribosomal RNA is filed under the name Morchella sp. Its description in RNAcentral is "partial large subunit ribosomal RNA". It matches the Rfam family "Eukaryotic large subunit ribosomal RNA", at positions 64 to 668 of the family's 3401-position model. Lineage: Eukaryota; Fungi; Ascomycota; Pezizomycetes; Pezizales; Morchellaceae. The record is from RNAcentral.
GUUUCAGGGCAUUGCCUCAGUACGGCGAGUGAGCGGCAAAAGCUCAAAUUUUAAAGCUGGCAUCUUCGGUGUCCGCGUUGUAAUUUUGUGAGGCAUCUCCGGGUAGGGCGCCGGCCUAAGUUCCUUGGAACAGGACGUCAUAGAGGGUGAGAAUCCCGUGCUUGGCUGGCUGUCCCCGUCCAUGUGAGGUGUCUUCGACGAGUCGAGUUGUUUGGGAAUGCAGCUCAAAAUGGGUGGUAAAUUUCAUCUAAAGCUAAAUAUUGGUGGGAGACCGAUAGCGCACAAGUAGAGUGAUCGAAAGAUGAAAAGCACUUUGAAAAUAGAGUUAAAAAGUACGUGAAAUUGUUGAAAGGGAAGCGCUUGAGACCAGACUUCGGUAGGGGGUGAUCAGCUGUCCUUCUGGGCGGUGCACUUGCUCCCCUCCGGGCCAGCAUCGGUUGGGGCGGCGGGAUAAAGAUCACGGGAAUGUGGCUCCUUUCGGGGAGUGUUAUAGCCCGGGUGAAUGCCGCCAGCUCCGACCGAGGACCGCGCCUUCGGGCUAGGAUGCUUGGCAUAAUGGUCUUCAGCGACCCGUCUUGAACCACGGACCA